RNAcentral lists this ribosomal RNA (485 nucleotides) under uncultured Glomus. Its description in RNAcentral is "SSU rRNA". It matches the Rfam family "Eukaryotic small subunit ribosomal RNA", at positions 569 to 1060 of the family's 1831-position model. Lineage: Eukaryota; Fungi; Glomeromycota; Glomeromycetes; Glomerales; Glomeraceae. The record is from RNAcentral.
AGCAGCCGCGGUAAUUCCAGCUCCAAUAGCGUAUAUUAAAGUUGUUGCAGUUAAAAAGCUCGUAGUUGAAUUUCGGGAUCAAUUUAUCGGUCGUGCCAAUGGUAUGAACUGGUACAACUGGUUUCUCCCUUCUGAUAAAGCGUGAUGCCAUUAACUUGGUGUCGCCGGGGAAUCAGGACUGUUACUUUGAAAAAUUAGAGUGUUUAAAGCAGGCUUAGGCUUGAAUACAUUAGCAUGGAAUAAUGAAAUAGGACGUUUGAUCCUAUUUGUUGGUUUCUAGGAUCGACGUAAUGAUUAAUAGGGAUAGUUGGGGGCAUUAGUAUUCAAUUGUCAGAGGUGAAAUUCUUGGAUUUAUUGAAGACUAACUACUGCGAAAGCAUUUGCCAAGGAUGUUUUCAUUAAUCAAGAACAAAGUUAGGGAUCGAAGACGAUCAGAUACCGUCGUAGUCUUAACCAUAAACUAAUGCCGACUAGGGAUCGGAUGA